UACGUAGGGGGCGAGCGUUGUCCGGAAUCAUUGGGCGUAAAGAGCGUGUAGGUGGCUUGGAAAGUCUUACGUGAAAGCCUGCGGCUCAACCGCAGAAGUGCGUGGGAAACUACCUCGCUAGAGUCCGGAAGAGGAGAGCGGAAUUCCUGGUGUAGCGGUGGAAUGCGCAGAUAUCAGGAGGAACACCCGUGGCGAAGGCGGCCACUGUCGGGACGGCACUGACG
Molecule: ribosomal RNA, 224 nt
Filed under: uncultured bacterium
Lineage: Bacteria
Description: partial 16S ribosomal RNA
Rfam family: Bacterial small subunit ribosomal RNA
Source: RNAcentral